ACAUCUCCUCACAUCUACAUUCUUACAGCUUCUCUUCCUCGGUUUAAGCCGCCUCAAAAUCCACUACCACCACGGUAAUCACACACAGAUCAUGGCUUUUGAUGUCGAUGAUGAACAAAAACAACAAAAUUUUCAGCACGAUGAUUUCGUCUCUCAGUCUCUGCGAAAAAGAAAUGAAGCGGAUGGAGAUUUGCCUGCCUCAUUCUGCUGUCUCAUUGCUUCACUCUUGCCUUUGCCACUUUUCUUGUUGUAUGGUGGGAAGUGGGAAGACAUCAAUGAGGAGAAGGUGAUGUCUCCGGCAGAAGUUGCCAAUCAAAAAAAGACGAAGAUAACACUUUUGAUCCAAAUCCAGCUUCAUGAAAGCAACCCUCAGAAGAAUGAGGUAUUCUAAACAUGUGUAAUAAUGUUUGAAGAAGUCAGGGAAGAAGAGCUUUGGUAACCUGUUAUUGGUGUGUUUUAUUUGAGUAAAUGUAAUUCUCUCACACUUGGUUACAGAGAGAGCUCUCAAGAAUCAAAUAUUGUCACAGUGGCUGAAACUAGGGAAUAGAAGGAACCAGGUGACGAAACAAGUGAAUAGAAGGAACCAGAGGCCUGCAAGGGGCAAAAUUUACACCCCAAGCUAGAUUUGGACCUUCCACUGACCCAGCUGGUAAGAGUUUGCACACCAAGUUGGAAGCUAGUGCUAAGACAUUAGAAGAAAACUCAAAGGCUAACAGCAGACAAAUUAGCAAAGAUGAUGAUGACGAAGAACCAGAGAGCAGAACCAAUGCUUUUACCAAAAGAUACUGGUACCUGUUCCCCCAAGUUUGCAGGGAAAUAAUGAUCGAAGUAAAUAAGGUCUAAAAUUUUGCAGGUGCAAAUGUGAAGCAUCUAACAUGUGUUGUCUGGAAACAAAAACAUACUGUAUCACUGUUGUUGAUUAUGCUUGGUUAAACAACACAAUUAUUUCUCUUGUACUUUAAAAACAAUGCAAUGUGUUUGAUGUUUUAUGAUAUCUGUACAGAAACAAUUUUUGAAUUAUUUGUGAAACUGAAUAAGAUCAUUCUGACACA
Molecule: RNA transcript, 1052 nt
Organism: Papaver somniferum (opium poppy)
Lineage: Eukaryota; Viridiplantae; Streptophyta; Magnoliopsida; Ranunculales; Papaveraceae
Exons: 5
Source: RefSeq, a predicted model, not a curated record